Alligator sinensis (Chinese alligator) is the source of this 639-nucleotide long non-coding RNA. RefSeq lists it as uncharacterized. The transcript has 3 exons. NCBI's taxonomy places the organism in Eukaryota, Metazoa, Chordata, Crocodylia, Alligatoridae. The record is from RefSeq and is a predicted model, not a curated record.
UCAUUUUAAGCUAUUAUACAAUCACCUCUGUGUAGACUCAGCAAGCACAUGUAAAUCAGGACAAAAAUAUUUUUGAAACCAAAUUAACGCAUGUUUUCAAUGUUCGAUUUUUAAACUAUAGUUUGAUAUUUUUCUGGUUCCGAGAUGGCAAAACCCCUUACUGAAAGGACAGACAAGGUUCUUUUGGAGGCAAGGGGAAGGACUUGUGCAUAAACGACCCGUGCCCCUGGCAGCUGGUGGGGCACAGUGGCAGGGGGAGCACGGCGACAGCAAUGGGAGGACAGUGGCGGUGAGCGGGGAGCUCCUGCAGCUGCCACCGGCAGCAUCGGCGGCAGCCCGUGGGGAUCGCUGACCGCCCACAGACGCCACUGGCAGUGCUGGCGGCAAGGUGUUAUUUCUCACAACAGCGCCUCGGUUGAGAGAGGAGCCUGCAACAGACCUGGGUACUGAACCAAGGAGUCUGGGCCCCCUGUUCUCACCCCCGGCCCCCACACCCUUCCCAGAGGUGGAGAGCACCCAGAGGCCCCCGCUCUUCAUCUGUCCAUCCAUGCAUGCUCAGAUGCCUUCUUCAGAUGCGGGUCAGGAGUGACGGGGCAGGGCUGGGGGGGAGCAGGGGCCGCGGGUUGGGCGUGGGGGGCA